GUAAAGACUUUCCCUCUAACAUCUAAUUUCCCUUCUUUUCGUUUAAAGCCGCCUCCUCCUCGCGCUAUCACUGACGAUCACAGUCAUUUUCCUACUACGCUGCGCUUUCCUCGCAGCCCCGACGGCGAUCCCGCUCCUCACACCCCAUUGCCGGGCGAGCCCGGCUGUAGGACGGAUCCUCCUUUCCGCCGGCUGAUCCCAUCCCGGCACGGCGCUGCCAGCCCCGCUCCGAGGCGGAGAUCCCGAGGGGUGAAGCGGGGCCGGGGGCUGCCCGGGGGGCGGCGGCCGCGAGGCACCCGUGUGGGCAGCGCGCAGCCGCAGUGCGGCCGCCGGCGGGUACAAAGCGGCGGUCGGAGCGCUGGGUGCCGGCGGCGGGGCCGGGCGGCAUUGCCCGCCCUCGCGGCGGGGCCCCCCGGGCGCGGAGCCCACAGGUAUGGGGUGAUGGUGCUGGGUUCCCCUGGAGCAGUGGACUCCUCGAAGCCAACAUUACUCGUUCCAAGGUUCAGCCCAUAAAUGAAGGGCCUCUUAAGUGACAGGUAAGAUCAUUCUGCUCUGCUUGCGGGAUAUGGAAAGCAUUGACCUCCCCUCAUGUUCCAUCCUUAUCGUGCAGGCAUGUGGAGGUGAAACAGCAAAGUUUAAAAUAGUGACUUGUCAAAUUAUUAUUAUUAACGAAAUUGGUUUUGCAGUGUAACGGCUGGGAGCUACCCCUGGAGUGAGGCAGUGUCAGAUGUGUCUGAGGUGCAUCAGCAUGGCUCUGCGUGCUGGGACUUCUGUCAGAGAUUGUAUUCGCUUCAAGAGCUGUUAAAUGAGGAAAGGAGGGGUUUCUUUCCAGAGCGUUUUUGGAACAGCUGCGUUAAAUAUCUCCAAGGACUGCAGACGAGUAAAUUUUCUGCAAAUGUUUCUCUUUUCAUCCCUGUCUCAGCAUAUGGUAACGCAGAGGACCUCUGAGGGUUACUCCCAGCCAAGCCGGUUUGGACAGAAAGAGCGAUGCAUCGGGGCUUUUCGCAGCUCGUCAGUGCUCGGCUAAGAGCUUGCCAAGAGGUGUUCUGGCUGGAGGAAAAGGGGGAAAAACAGUGCAUUCAGACUGUCGUCUCUUUUUGGCUUUUAUUGUGGCUGUCCUUUGUUACUUUUUAUAUCCCGCGAUGUUGAUGUUGGACAAAAGUAAGGGGACUUAGACGGCGCAUAAUUACUGACAGAACAACUUGAUGAAUUUUGCUUCUGGUUUUCCAUGCUUCCGACAGAAA
RNAcentral lists this long non-coding RNA (1244 nucleotides) under Coturnix japonica (Japanese quail). RNAcentral's name for it is "lncRNA (ENSCJPG00005002167.1)". Lineage: Eukaryota; Metazoa; Chordata; Aves; Galliformes; Phasianidae. The record is from RNAcentral.